AUACGUAGGUGACAAGCGUUAUCCGGAUUUACUGGGCGUAAAGGGCGUGUAGGCGGUCUUGCAAGUCAGAAGUGAAAUUCCUGAGCUCAACUCGGGCGCUGCUUCUGAAACUGCAGGACUUGAGUGCUGGAGGGGAUAGCGAAAUUCCUAGUGGAGCGGUAAAAUGCGCAGAUAUUAGGAAGAACACCGGUGGCGAAGGCGGCUAUCUGGACAGUAACGGACGCUGAGGCGCGAAAGCGUGGGGAGCAAACAGGAUUAGAUCCCCUGGUAGUCCACGCCGUAAACGAUGAAUACUAGGUGUAGGGGGUAUCGACUCCCUCUGUGCCGCAGUUAACACAAUAAGUAUUCCGCCUGGGGAGUACGGCCGCAAGGUUGAAACUCAAAUGAAUUGACGGGG
Molecule: ribosomal RNA, 397 nt
Filed under: uncultured bacterium
Lineage: Bacteria
Description: partial 16S ribosomal RNA
Rfam family: Bacterial small subunit ribosomal RNA
Source: RNAcentral